This 304-nucleotide signal recognition particle RNA is filed under the name Saimiri boliviensis boliviensis (Bolivian squirrel monkey). RNAcentral's name for it is "Metazoan signal recognition particle RNA (ENSSBOG00000008918.1)". It matches the Rfam family "Metazoan signal recognition particle RNA". Rfam says of the family: The signal recognition particle (SRP) is a universally conserved ribonucleoprotein. It is involved in the co-translational targeting of proteins to membranes. Lineage: Eukaryota; Metazoa; Chordata; Mammalia; Primates; Cebidae. The record is from RNAcentral.
GCUGGGCGUGGUGGCACAUGCCUGUAGUUUCAGCUACUCAGGAGGCUGAGACAGGAGUAUCGCUGUGAGUCCAGUUGUUCUGGGCUGUAGUGUGCUAUACCGAGCGGUUGUCCACACUAAGUUCGUCAUCAAUAUGAUAACUUCUCGGUAGCAGGAGACCACCAGGUUGCCUAAGAAUGGGUGAAUCCAUUCAGGUAGGAAACAGAGCAGGUCAAACAAAACUCCUUUGCUAAUCAGUAGUGGGACUGCACCUGUGAAUAGCCACCACACUCCAGCCUGGGCAACAAUAUGAGAACCUGUCUCA